UGUCCCAUGGUGUAAUGGUUAGCACUUUGGACUCUGAAUCCAACAAUCCGAGUUCGAGUCUCGGUGGGACCU
RNAcentral lists this transfer RNA (72 nucleotides) under Procambarus clarkii (red swamp crayfish). RNAcentral describes it as "transfer RNA glutamine (anticodon CUG)". It matches the Rfam family "tRNA". Rfam says of the family: Transfer RNA (tRNA) molecules are approximately 80 nucleotides in length. Their secondary structure includes four short double-helical elements and three loops (D, anti-codon, and T loops). Further hydrogen bonds mediate the characteristic L-shaped molecular structure. tRNAs have two regions of fundamental functional importance: the anti-codon, which is responsible for specific mRNA codon recognition, and the 3' end, to which the tRNAs corresponding amino acid is attached (by aminoacyl-tRNA synthetases). tRNAs cope with the degeneracy of the genetic code in two manners: having more than one tRNA (with a specific anti-codon) for a particular amino acid; and 'wobble' base-pairing, i.e. permitting non-standard base-pairing at the 3rd anti-codon position. The record is from RNAcentral. Lineage: Eukaryota; Metazoa; Arthropoda; Malacostraca; Decapoda; Cambaridae.